RNAcentral lists this long non-coding RNA (277 nucleotides) under Linum usitatissimum (flax). RNAcentral describes it as "long non-coding RNA (LUSI_LNC002387)". The record is from RNAcentral. Lineage: Eukaryota; Viridiplantae; Streptophyta; Magnoliopsida; Malpighiales; Linaceae.
AUCAAUCAGCUGGUUUUCGUUCUGGUGAUCGUGGUGAUGUUGCACUUUUGUCUUGAUCAAUCCACUAAUGUUGAUAUCAGAUGUAUCUGUUGAAAGUUCAUUUCCAGAGCGAUCCGAUGCUGAUGAAAGCUUUUCGCCAGUCAUGAUGUCACGAAAAUCAGCAGAGAUGGAGAUGAGAUUUGAUUUUGUUGCAGAUUUCCGAUCGCUGAGGUAGAGAGUGCUGAACGGAAUUCAGAUCGAGGAAGGAGUACAUAUGGUAUGAUAGGAAGGAUUUGCG